This 586-nucleotide ribosomal RNA is filed under the name uncultured bacterium. RNAcentral's name for it is "bacterial SSU rRNA". It matches the Rfam family "Bacterial small subunit ribosomal RNA", at positions 338 to 916 of the family's 1533-position model. The record is from RNAcentral.
CCUACGGGAGGCAGCAGUGGGGAAUUUUGGACAAUGGGCGAAAGCCUGAUCCAGCCAUGCCGCGUGCAGGAUGAAGGCCUUCGGGUUGUAAACUGCUUUUGUACGGAACGAAAAGACUCUGGUUAAUACCUGGGGUCCAUGACGGUACCGUAAGAAUAAGCACCGGCUAACUACGUGCCAGCAGCCGCGGUAAUACGUAGGGUGCAAGCGUUAAUCGGAAUUACUGGGCGUAAAGCGUGCGCAGGCGGUUAUAUAAGACAGAUGUGAAAUCCCCGGGCUCAACCUGGGAACUGCAUUUGUGACUGUAUAGCUAGAGUACGGUAGAGGGGGAUGGAAUUCCGCGUGUAGCAGUGAAAUGCGUAGAUAUGCGGAGGAACACCGAUGGCGAAGGCAAUCCCCUGGACCUGUACUGACGCUCAUGCACGAAAGCGUGGGGAGCAAACAGGAUUAGAUACCCUGGUAGUCCACGCCCUAAACGAUGUCAACUGGUUGUUGGGUCUUCACUGACUCAGUAACGAAGCUAACGCGUGAAGUUGACCGCCUGGGGAGUACGGCCGCAAGGUUGAAACUCAAAUGAAAUUGACGG